AUUGAACGCUGGCGGCAGGCCUAACACAUGCAAGUCGAACGAGUGGCGGACGGGUGAGUAAUGUCUGGGACACUGCCUGCUGGAGGGGGAUAAGUACUGGAAACGAUAGCUAAUACCGCAUACCAUCAGAUGUGCCCAUAUGGGAAUAGCUAGUUGGUGGGGUAACGGCUUACAACGUCGAAGAUCCCGAGCUGGUCUGAGAGGAUGCCCAGUGACACUGGAACUGAGACACGGUCCAGACUCCUACGGGAGGCAGCAGUGGUGAAUAUUGCACAAUGGGCGCAAGCCUGAUGCAGCCAUGCCGCGUGUAUGAAGAAGGCCUUCGGGUUGUAAAGUACUGUCAGCGGGGAGGCGUUACCCGCAGAAGAAGCACCGGCUAACUCCGUGCCAGCAGCCGCGGUAAUUC
RNAcentral lists this ribosomal RNA (406 nucleotides) under uncultured bacterium. RNAcentral's name for it is "partial 16S ribosomal RNA". It matches the Rfam family "Bacterial small subunit ribosomal RNA", at positions 30 to 526 of the family's 1533-position model. The record is from RNAcentral.